This 432-nucleotide RNase P RNA is filed under the name SAR202 cluster bacterium. Its description in RNAcentral is "RNase P RNA component class A". It matches the Rfam family "Bacterial RNase P class A". From Rfam's summary of the family: Ribonuclease P (RNase P) is a ubiquitous endoribonuclease, found in archaea, bacteria and eukarya as well as chloroplasts and mitochondria. Its best characterised activity is the generation of mature 5'-ends of tRNAs by cleaving the 5'-leader elements of precursor-tRNAs. The record is from RNAcentral. Lineage: Bacteria; Bacillati; Chloroflexota; Dehalococcoidia.
AAUGCAGACUGGGUGACCGCCGCCUCGAUUCGUCGUGGGGGAGGAAAGUCCGGGCUCCUCUAGGCAUGGUGCUGGGUAACUCCCAGGCCUCUGGCGACGGCCCCGAUUCCAUCGGGGUCCCGUUGGGGGACGGAAAGUGGCACAGAAACAUACCACCUCGACUCGUCGAGGCCAGGGUGAAAUCGGACGGUAAGAGCGUCCGGCCGUCUGCGGUGACGCAGCGGCGGCUAAACCCCACCUGGAGCAAGGCCAAAUAGGGGGACAUAGGCGCCUGGCCCGUCCCCGGGUUGGCUGCUUGACUGCGGCGGCAACGCCGCUCCGCCAAAAGCGGACUUCUGCUGGCUUCACCGCCGUCGGAAGGGCUAGAUAGAUGGUCACCGUCCUUCCUUAACCGGAAGGAUACAAAACCCGGCUUACAGGUCUGCAGCACCC